AAAGACACUACGCUUCCUACAAGGACAACUGUAGUUUACCGCAGAGAACGUCUAAUAAGGCAAACAGAGCCAAUACCGCCUGUGAACUGUUGUGGCGGUGAACGUGGGGUCAGAACACUACAGUUUGAUGAUGGGGUGUGGAACGGAGCUCAAGGUGCCCACCCAGUCUUGGAUGGGCACUGAAGCCGAAUUUGAUUCUGAUUAUUUGAGACAGAUGAUCAGGACGAACAGGUGGACUGUGAGGCCAUGGCAGACCUUGAGGCAUUCCUUCAUGAGCCAUGAACACACACAGACACACAUGCACUCAGGCACACACACACACACAAAAC
Molecule: long non-coding RNA, 329 nt
Organism: Alosa sapidissima (American shad)
Lineage: Eukaryota; Metazoa; Chordata; Actinopteri; Clupeiformes; Clupeidae
Exons: 3
Source: RefSeq, a predicted model, not a curated record